This 45-nucleotide non-coding RNA is filed under the name Schistosoma margrebowiei. Lineage: Eukaryota; Metazoa; Platyhelminthes; Trematoda; Strigeidida; Schistosomatidae. The record is from RNAcentral.
AUCCAGCUGACGAGUCCCAAAUAGAAUGAAACGCUCGUCAUUGAU